RNAcentral lists this long non-coding RNA (1079 nucleotides) under Homo sapiens (human). Its description in RNAcentral is "HSALNT0141772". The record is from RNAcentral. Lineage: Eukaryota; Metazoa; Chordata; Mammalia; Primates; Hominidae.
AGAAGGUCCAUAUUUAAUAGAUUUUAAAGGAACCAUGCUUCCAGCAGUGAACUGCAGUGGCUAAGCUAUAUUUUGGUAGGUAAAAUAUCUUUUGAGAGUAGAACACAAGUUGCCUGGAUCUGACGGAAGCUGUUUAUGUUUAUAUUUGAUAUAAAAGAUGAAAUACACUACAUUACAUUGUUAUGUGACCAUCCAUCGUUUCUCUAAGAAACACUCUCUCUCUCUCGAACCACAUACAAAUGCAACAUGUGUCAAAGGAUAAACAAGUUACCAUUUUGUGUUAAAAUAUCUAUAUGGAAUUGUCAUAUGACCAUUCUCACAAGCCCUAACAAAAAGUGGGCAUGACAAGAAAAAAAGAAAAGUUUUUUUUUAAAUAUAGUAAUUUAGCAUAACAUUGGAGACUAAAUGUCCAUGUGAACAUUCUCAAGAAAUACUUUAAACAUUUGGUCUGCCCCAGACAAAAUGAUAAGCUCUUGUUAAUGCCUGUCUGAUGAUACAUCUGGAUGGGAAUUUUCAAUCUGCUUUGCUUGUAGGCAAAUUUUCCUCUAUUUGACCAGCCCAUGAAAAAUGGAAAUACAAUUACGCACAGAAUGAGGAAAACAGAAACUCAUUCUCUGCAGGUUUUCCCUUCAAAUAAAGAUAAUUUCAAUAUCUACAAAGAUUGGAGGUUUAGGAACAAAAUAGAAAAGCACAAAGACUAAAGAAUAAGCUUUUAUCUAGGGUGUUUUAUUUAGAUCUCUAAGAAUUUUUCAGUUUUAACCCUUUCUCACAAGUAACUAAUGGUAAUAUCUUUAUGAGCUAGCAUUUAAAUAUUUUGCUCACAGGUUGAUAUUAAGUAUAUUCUCCAACUGCUCAAUGCAAUGUUUUGUUUUGUCAUUGAAUCUAGUUUCUUAAUUACUGUUCAAAAUCUACCAUGUACUUAACUGAUUUUGGUUUUUUACUGCUUCUUUUACUAGGAUCUUAUAUGAUAUAUUCUCCCUUUUGAUUAUAGACUUUUCCAUUUAUCUUUGUACUAUGUCAAUUUUAGUUUAGAAUUGUUCUUUCUUCCAAGCAAAUCAAAGAUUUUUUCAUUAUGGGGU